Molecule: long non-coding RNA, 16835 nt
Filed under: Capsella rubella
Lineage: Eukaryota; Viridiplantae; Streptophyta; Magnoliopsida; Brassicales; Brassicaceae
Description: long non-coding RNA (CRUB_LNC005120)
Source: RNAcentral
GGGAAUGCUUUUGAGAAUGCUGCAGAUAUUUAUUUAUCUAACGGGUCAUGAUGGUCAGCUUAGAAUUGGGAUGUAUACAAUGAGACGAGAACGAAGAUAGCUUUUGAUUUUAGCAAACACAAGCUUUCAUUUUGUCGACCCUUAGAAGCUUCAUGGAUGCAAAUCUUCAUUUUUCCCUUAUAAACAUUUAGUUCAAAGCUUCUAAGCAGAGAAAUGACGAAGCAACAUCGGUUUAUUCGAAAUAAGUAUACAACAUCCCCGGUUUAUUCGAAAUAAGGGUUAAAGGAUCCAAAAGAAGCAGUUUGAGAAAAUAGAUAUAAAAAGAGUAAGAGCAACAAAAGGAGUAAGCUAACGUAAAAUAUCCAUCGAAAAUACACCUCCUUACUUGAAACUCUAAAAAAUAUGUCGUUUACUUCAAUAAAUACUACAAUUUUUGUUCAGCCUCCAUAACUCGAUAGAGAGAAAAACGAUUAACUUAUAGCUUCUAACAUGUUUACAAAAUUUUAUUUGAAUACUAAUCUUUGUGCUUCAUGUUAUUCAUCGUCAUAUAAUUUUUCUUUCCUCUUGGUGUAGUGCUUAUUUAGAAAGCAAUAUAAAAAAAAUUCCUACAGCUUUGUUAACUAACCUUACUUCACCUUUUAAAUCAGUAUUAUUCUUUAAUUUUAUUUUAUUUUAUUUUCAAUUUUGGUAAAUUUGGAAUAACUUUUUCUUCUUCUAAUUAUUACAAUUGCUAAUUAUUGAAGAUGAUCUUAUAAAAGACGUUAAGUUGGACUUGGAAAAUAUGGAAAUAUCCUGUAAACUUAAAAUAUCAAGUAUAUAACUUGGAAAACAUCAACAACUACCAUUGAAUAACGUAAAUCAGUAUAGACCAUAAAGAGAGUUUGAUGCUAGUUCUGGUUUGUUUUCAACGUAUAUAAAUUUAACAACAUGAUUUAGUAAAUUUACUAAAAAUGAUAAUUUUACUUAAAUUAUAAAAAACCUUAAAACCUAAGCGUUAAAUCUUUUACGAUACGUGAUAACAUGUUGAACUUAUACACCACUGACGGACCACAAAGGGAUUGGAUGCUCGGCCCAGUUUGUUUUCAACGUAUUAAAAUUUAACACUUAGAUUCUACCAAAAAAUUAAAACUAUUUUUACUUGAAAUUUGAUUUAAAGAACCUUGAUAUUUAGUUGUAAAUCAGAAAAAUAGAAAUUAAUACAUAAAAUCUUUUUUUCUUUAUGUAUCUUUUUAUAUCGAAAUCAUUUUUUCUUAAUUUUUUUUUUUUUUUAAUUAGAAAAGUUGAGAUAUACCUGUAAUAUUAAGUAUCUGAAGGUUGAGGCGACUCAGUCCGUGGUCGUUUCUGAAGUUUGCUACACGUAAAUAGAAAACAAACCCAUUCAGUUCUGUAAGUUGCAGACAGGUAAUAAUAAGUAUAUAUGUGGUCGAGAAGCAACAUGAGCUCAGUAGUUAUAAAAUAAAACAAUGCCAAUGGAAACUCGCAUAUCAAAUCAGUAAUAUACCUCAGGUUAUAAAUGUAGUAAUGCUGAUGGGUUUGAUAAUUGUGGGGAAGUCCUCUUGAUCCAAAUCUUCAUGAUAAUAGAGAACAACAUCAAUGACCUGCAAAGACACUAAUAACCAAAAUCAAAAGCAAGAGAACAACAACAACAGAGAAGUAGAAACUAGUAGCUCACCUAUGAGAUUCAGUUCUUUAAGUUGCAGACAGGUAAUAAUAAGUUUAUAUGUGAUCGAGAAGCAACAUGAGCUCAGUAGUAAUAAAAUAAAACAAUGCCAAUGGAAACUCGCAAAUCAAAACAGUAUACCUCAGGUUAUGAAUGUAGUAAUGCUGAUGCUACAUGAUCCUUCUUCUUUUUGAUAAUUGUGAGGAAGUCCUCUUGAUCAAAUCUUCAUGAACUAUAGAGAACAUCAAUGACCUGCAAAGAAGAGAACAACAACAGAGAACAACAUCAAAGACCUGCAAAGACAAAAUCAAAAACAAGAGAACAAACAACAGAGAAGUAACCAAGAACAAACAUACCUCCUCCAAUCAAAAGGUCUGAAACUUCCUUGUCUGCAGAUCCAAAAUCGUAUAUGCAUAUAUACACACACCAAUGAGAUUCAGUUCUGUAUGUUGCAAACAGGUAAUAUCAAUUCUUUAUGUGGUCGAGAAGCAACAUGAGCUAUCAAAUAAAACAGAUGCCAAACUCGCAAAUCAGAUCAGUAUACCUCAGGUUAUAAAUGUAGUAAUGCUGAUGGUACAUGAUCCUUCUCCUUUUUGAUAAUUGUGAGGAAGUCCUCUUGAUCAAAUCUUCAUGAUAAUAGAUAAGAACAUCAAUGACAAAGACAAUGUAUAUAUACUAAUAACCAAAAUCAAAAACAAGAGAACAACAACAACAGAGAAGUAGAAACUAAUAGCUCACCAAGAACAAGCAUACCUCCUCCUAUCAAAAGGCCUGAAAAACCAUAUAAGAAUCUUAAGACCAACAUUGGCUUCCAUCAAUACGCUUAUGAUAUAUAUAAAGGAGACAGAGAGAAGCAAAUACGUGAAUCUUAAGACCAACAUUGGCUUCCAUCAAUACGCUUAUGAUAUAUAUAAAGGAGACAGAGAGAAGCAAAUACGUGAAUCUUAAGACCAACAUUGGCUUCCAUCAAUACGCUUAUGAGAUUGUAAUUCCAAACAAACUGUAUCAAUCAUAUACUCUUAUGAGACUGUAUUUCCAAACAAACUGGACGCAAAUCAAAUCAAAUCAAUUGUAAUUCCAAAAGGCCAACAUGAUUGAUGAACUAAAUAGUAUCACAAAUUGGCUUGCAUCAAUCGUAUACUCUUAUGAGAUUCAGUUCUGUAUGUAGCAGACAUAAAAGUUCUCAACUUCUAAGACACAAGACAUAAAAACCAGACCAUAUGCAGACAGAGGAACAAGAAGAGAUAGAGCGGUACCUUGAAGGGAAAAGAGGAAGCAAGAGCACCACCAUGAGGACGAAGCAGAGGUUAGAUAGAUCCAAAAACGAACCAGAAGAAGAGAGAUCAAAAGCCUCGAUCAUCACCACCACGUCUCAAGCCUCAGCACCCUAUGAUCAUCAAACUAAAUUGUAUAAAUAAUAAAUAAUAAGAGAUUCCUGUUUUUGUAUUUUACAAUAUUGAGUAACACAACAUGGUGGAAGCAAGAGCACCACGUCUCAUGAGGACGAAGCAGAGGUAGAUAGAUCCCAAAAGCCUCGAUCAUCACAACCACGUCUCAAGCCUCAGCAUUCUAUGAUCGCCACCACGUCUCAAGCCUCAGCACCCUAUGAUCGCCGUGUUGCAUAUCUCGAUCAUCAACGAGAGGAAAGCUAUAAAGUUUGAAGCUUUUUCACCGAAGAUGAAUCAGAGAAUCGAAGGAGAAGAGGGAACGAACUUAAGAGAUUGAUUUGUAGGGUUUAGAAAGAAGAAGAAGAAAGAACGGAGAAGAAGAAGUGAGAAACAGAGAAUUUUGAUUUCUCGAUCUCGGUUUGAGUUGAGAGAAUUAAAGAGUUAAUUUUUAAUAUUUAUAAGCGAAAUUAAUUAAGAGGUUAAUUAAAAGAAAAGGAAAUUGACAACGGUUAUAUUAAUAGGAGUGUAAGGAAAUCAAUACCGAGAUUUUGUUUCUGUUAAAUUUUCUUCAUCAUAACGGUAACAAUUUAAUUUCAAUAUGUAAAACGUUUUGAACCUUUUUAAUUUUAAAAGAGAAUUUGGCAAAAAAUAUAUUUUUUUAAACCGUUAGUUAUGUUAUUAACUAAUUGAACUAUUUUAUUGACCUAUUCUUGAGGAGCUAUUUUACUAAUUGUAAAUUAUCAGACCAAGUUUUAUAUAAUAAGUUUCUCCAUUACAUUAGGCAUGACAACGGCUACGGUUUGUUGACCAUCAAUUACGGUUAUAAAUUUUCUUUAACCAUAACUUUAACCUUUAUAUAUACGGUUAAAACGGUUACGGUUAUAUACGGUUAUAGUUAAAUCCGGUUACGGUUAAAUACGUUUACGGUUAUUUGAUGAUUAUAAUAUAGAUAAUCAUAUAUAUAAAAGUAAGGUUUCACUCUCUACUUAUUGGUGGAAAAAUAUUUAAGGCUUAAUUUUUUUUUUUUAAAUAAAUAAAGAAAUGUUUAUGACAAUCAUUCAAUAAAAAAUUUAAUUACACUAUAAGUUAUAAUCAAAUGGCAAAGAAGAUAAAAGAACUUAAUCAUAUAUCAUUCAACAAAAUAAAUAAAUGUUUAUGAUAAUCAUUCAAUAGAAAAUUUAAUUACAGUAUAAGUUAUAAUCAAAUGGCAAAGAAAAUAAAAGGACUUAAUCAUAUAUCAUUCAACAAAAUAAAUAAAUAAAUAAAUGUUUAUGACAAUCAUUCAAUACAAAAUUUAAGUACACUAUAAGUUAUAAUCAAAUGGCAAAGAAAAUGAAAGUACUUAAUCAUAUAUCAUACAACAAAUUUUAUAAGGCUUAUUGGUGGAAAAUUAUUUAAAAUCAUAUAUAUAAAAGUAAGGUUUCACUCUCUUUAUUGUUCCAUUUUGUAUUUAUUUUUAAAAUAUAAUAUUUAUUUUUAAUUAAACCAAAAAAACAUAUUUAAUCAUAUACAUUAAUCCAUACUUUAGAUUCACACUUUACUACUAAAAUUAAACUGAAAAUUAUAUAAAUUUCCAAAGACUAUUGGUUUUCUUUAUUGAAUUCCAAUUAAACACACUAUAAAUUAUAAUUAUAACUCCUCUAAUUAAAUUAUUUUAAAAAUUUAACUUACAUCACUUCUUAUCAUAUAAAUAGUCAUUCUCACAUCCUUCUCUACCAUAUCUCAUAUCUUCAUUAUUCUCUUUGUUUUUUUUUUAAAAGUUCUUGCAUGGGGUGAAAACUCAUUUAAAAUAUCAUUGUAAGAGUUUGAUUAAUUAUUUAGUUUAAACUUUUGUUUUCAAUUUUAUUUAUUUUUUGUUUUUAUGUAUUUCUUUAUGUCUUCAUUUUUUUAUAUUUUUAAAUGUAAUACAUAUGUAUAAUAAUAUUUUAUGCUUUUUUUUUUCGUCAAACAAAUAAUUAUAUUUGAUAAUUGUGAAAAUCAUAAUACAAAUGUUCUGAAAGCCAUGGAGGCGGGUUCAAAAAAUCAGAAUAAAAAGGAACCAUAUUACAACCAUAAGAAGCAAGCACAUGAGCCACUUUGUUACAAUGUCUAUUACAAAAUUCAAAAGAAAUAUUGGAGAACUUAGUAGCCCACACAAUAAUAUUUUAUGCUUAUAAGAAAAUCAAACUAAAGAAACCAUCUUCAUUAUUUUACAUUGGAUGUUUGUUUCUUUCUCACAUAUUCAUGUAUAUUUAUUUUAAUUUCAAAAGUAUGUAAUUUUUUAACAAAAUAAACUUUUUGUUAUAUAAUUAUCAAACCAAUUUGUAAGACAUUCUUUUAAGAAUAAUGAUCCUUAUAUUUAGUUUGUGAUUCAACAUGUAAUAAUAUAAACAACAUAAUAAUUUUUGUUAACUUUGAAUUUUAUACUUGAUUUCCUAUAUAAAAAAAAAUUUCAUAUUCAAUUUUCUAUCUAUUAUAUAUACUACGACGAUGAAAAAUAUAAUUAAACCUAGAGAUAUAGCUUAAAUUAAGAGGAAUAUAAAAACAAAUUAAAAAUAAAAUUAUUCUUUGGGAAUUUUUUAAGGUUUCUCCNNNNNNNNNNNNNNNNNNNNNNNNNNNNNNNNNNNNNNNNNNNNNNNNNNNNNNNNNNNNNNNNNNNNNNNNNNNNNNNNNNNNNNNNNNNNNNNNNNNNUAUUUUUAAUUAAACCAAAUAUCUAACACAUUUAGUCAUAUACUUUAAUUCAUACUUGAAAUCCACGCUUUACUAUUAAAUUGUAACUUAAAUUAUAUAAUCUUUCAAUUGACUAUUUGUUUCCUCCAUUCAAUUUCAGUUAACACACUAUAAAAUAUAAUUAUAACUCCUCUAAUUUAAUUAUUUUAGAAUUAUAACUUACAUCAUAUUUUAUCCUAUAAAUAUUCAUUGUUACAUCCUCGUCCACCAUAUCUGAUAUUCUCAAUAUUUCUUUAUUUAAUUUAUAAUGUUCUUGCAUGGGUUGAAAGCUCAAUUAAGAUAUCAUUGUAAGAGCUUGAUUAUAUAUUUGGUUAAAACUUUUGUUUUCAAUUAUAUUUCUUCUUUAUUUUAUGUACUUCUUCAUUUUUUCAUUGUUUUAUACUAUUAAAUAUAUAAUACAUAUGUAUAAUAAUAUUUUAUGGCUAUAAGGAAAUUACUUUAUCGAUGGGAUUCAAAACUAUUGAUUUCUGACCAUCGCACCAUAAGAAAAUCAAGCUAAAUAAACCAUCUUCAUUGUUUUACUUUAUAUGUUUUUUUCUUUCUCACAAAUUCAUGUAUAUUUAUUUUAUUUUCAAAGUAUGUAAUUAUUUUAACAAAAUAAUUUUUGGUUAUAUUCAAACCAAUUUGUAAGACAUUGAAAUAAAGAAAAAUUUUAUACACAAAUAAAGGUAAUUUGUGUGUAUAUUUAUAAGUUUACACACAUAUAUGGAUAAAUUUUAACAUUUUUAGUGGUUGUUUUGAUAAAGUUUGAAAAGGGGGUAAAUUUAAAAAGUGGUAUUUUUAAAAGGGUAUUUUCUAAAUUCUCCCAAAAUCAUUCCUAUUUUUAUCAUUAACAAUAUUAUUGUUUUAUCAAAAAAUACUUAAAAGCACAAAAAAAAUUACUAUCAAAAUUGAACAAUUAAUCAACGAAUAAAUUCAAAAGAUAUGGAUGUAUGCUUCUAUUGUAUGAUUUAAAUAAAUAAAAUGUAAAAAUGUCAUAAACAUUAAAAUUUAUUUAAUCUAUUUUUAUAAGUAAUAAAUAAAUUAAAAUAAUUAAAUAAAUAUACAACAACCCGCGCAUAUGCGCGGGAAAUUACCUAGUAUAUAUAAACAAAGUUUUAUAUUUUCUUACCAUAUCAAAUAAUGUUUAUUUUCAAUAUGAAAUAAAGGUAUUUAUAUGAUUCAAAUAUUUAUAGUAAAUUAGUUAAAAAUUAUUUUUAAUUAAUUAAAAACAACUACAAUUAAAUAAAUUAAUGGUUAUGAACCUAAAAUUAUUUAAAAUAAAUUAUUUUUGAUUUGAAUAAUGAAAAUGAGCAGUAGAGUGAAUUAGAAUUACUAGUUGACACAUUAAACCAUUUAAAACAUUAUUUUAAUGAAAUAAUUUUUAUUAAAGGUUAACCAUAUGGUUAUGGUUGAUAACGGUUACUUUUUAUAACCAUGACUAAUUUAUUUUUACGGUUAACGGUUACAAAUUUUAACUGUUUUAUACGGUUACGGUUUAAAAAUAGUUCAGUUACGGGUAAAUUACGGUUAAUAUUAGAUUUUGGUCAUGCCUACAUUAAACUUAAAGUAAUGGAACGAUAAUAUUGUGGCUUUGUAAACUUAUUUUUCAUAUUUUAUACCGAAUUAAAGUAUCAAGACCGACAUAUAAAUUAUACAAAGAUUGGCGAAUGGCACAGAGUUAUUAGCAUACCGGAUUUACUGAUAUUUGUAAGUUUUUAUUUAAUCUAAUUAUUUAAUUCGAUUUAUUAUUUGAUAUUUGUAAUUUUUAAUUUAUAUAAAUAUUCAAGUUUUUGUAAAAAAUAAUAAAAUUUUAAUUAUUAAAAAACUUAUUUUACCAAAAUCAUCGAGAAUUUAUGGACAAGAAAAACAAAGCAAAACUCGUAAUCGCUCAUAAUUAAUUGUCGGCUUCAUCGUCCUUUUGCUUCUUCUUCCACCAAAAUUAACUUUUUCCAGUAACGAAGCUAAAUUAAAAUUCGUUAUUAGGGUUCUGCUCCUACUACGCCGUAAUUUUGAUUCCUUUAGUUUUUUGAUUUCAGGGUCGAUAUGGAGAUUGAGAGAAACGUUUCAGUCCCUGGUAAGAAGAAUCUAGUUAAAGUCGAGUUCAAGCUUGGGACAGAGAGCUACAUCAUUGAUUCAUCAAACAAGGGUGAUACUGUAUUGGACCAAUUGGUUUCGAUGAAAGUUGAAAGUAUGAAGAUACUUAAAGAUUUUAUCACAAAGCAUAAUGUUCCAGAUGAUGAUGAUGUCCCCGACCAAAUCUUGUCUGAUGAUGAAGAAGGUGAUGAUGUUGCUUCUCCUGUAAUAUGUCCUGUGAAACCUAAGAAGACAAAGAUUUGAGUUCGUUUUUAGUUAUCACUACUGUCUUGUUAGCUGGUGAUUUGAUCUUGAACCUUUGUCAAAUUUUGUUAACAGUUUUGGGGUUUUCUAGAGAGAAUUAUGAGGUUUUGGAUCUUGCUAGUUGGAAUUUAGAAAUGGUGUUACUGAGUUUAUUACUGGAGAUAGGUGAUUGCAUUGCUUGAGAAGAGCAAAUCCAUUGAAUGAUGCAGUUUCUUAUCUCUGACGGAUAUAGUUGAGUUAUUCAAUAGCUCUACAUGGAACUUCAUCGAGACUCUUAGAACACUAAAGGGAAAUGCUUGACUCGUAUUAUGGUAUUAGGGGUAUUGGACAAGAAACGUAGAUGAUACAUAUUUCCUGUGAGUCUUGUGUUUAGAUAUUGUUUAGUGUUGUGUUCAAUUGAGUGGUAGACUUUGAACCUCUGUUAAUUUUGCUGUUUGUGCAACAGUUUUGUUUGUCUAAGAAGAAUAUGAUAACUUGGGUAAAACUAUGGAAAUGGGGUUUCUAAAUUCUUACUUGGAGGUUGACUGUGUUGUGAAGAGCAAAGCAUUGAGAGUUCAUUAUCUUGUUGAAGAGCUUGGGAGCUUUAGUGAGACUGGAAGAGCUUUAAGAGAACCAGAGGAUAAUGCUUGACUCGAUAUACUUAACAGAACCAUGGUAUUAAUGGAAUUAGAUAAAUGACUGAUAGGUUCUGGUUUAUUGGUUAGUGUUUGUGUUUAUGUGCUCGAUUGAUUUGGGAACUAGUAAAGUCUCUCCUGGUUAAGUUGCGUUUGCUAGCUCAGUAAGUGUAACUUACUAGAAUUGCAGAGUUGGGUGGUUAGAAAAGAUACAUGACUGAUAAGCCAUGACGGAUAGUGUUUGUUUAACUUACUAGAGUUGCAGAGUUGGGUAGUUAGAAAAGAGAUACAUGACGGAGAACCCCUGGUUUAUCUGUAUUGGUUAGUCACUUACCGUUAGUGUAUGUGUUCAUGUGUGCUUAGAUAUUGUAGGACCUUGCAAAGUGUCUCUCUGUAAAGAUGUGUUUUGCCAGCUCAGUAAGUCUUACUUGUUAGAGUUGAAGAGUUGGGGUUGGUAAGAAAAGUUCUCGUGUUGUUCCUGUGUUAAUUCACUGCAAUAUAAGAGUUUCUAGGACCUGAUGAAUUAGGACCAAUGGAAGACAGAGAUGGUUUGGGCAAUAGCCAAGGCCAGAGACAUGGGCUAAUGAAUAGUUCACCGAUGAUCUUUAAAGCUGUUUCAUAAAUCAAUUUAUCAAAGAAAGUUGGAUUUUGUUCACAUUCCUCACGAUUAGUCUUUCUAUUUUGUUGAUAAUUUGACAGUUACUAUAGUUAAGUAUCCUCUCAGACUCAGAUCGUAUAUUUGUGAUGUGAUACCGAAGUUCUGCGAAACAACCAUUUUAUACAGAAUUCAAUGUCUGCGAUAAAUAGAAACCUCACUAGUUGAAACGAAAAUCACAGAUAAACAAAUUUUGGAUGAAUGAAAACAGCAGAAUCAUUCCUAUAUCAUUCACAAUCUUAACACCAACAUUGUCUUCAACUCAUCAAAGCAUCGCUAAGCUCCAGCCACGCCACGAAAUAAAAAGAGAAAAACAGAUGGACUAGCACGCAUUAACCAUUACUACUCCAUCUUCUCGAGUUCUGACAUCCUUUCGAUGAUCGCCUGCAAGUAAAAAUUUGUUGCCAGCAUAUAAAAAGUUUAGCGGUUGAGCAAAGGAAUGUGUUAGUGAAAGAGGAAAGCCUGAAACAAAAAUCCAUACCCUUUUGCUUGUUUCUUGGAGCUCCCCAGCAAGAAUGAAUUCAUCGAGUAUCAGAUACACCUUUUAAAUGAAUCACAGAGAAUUGAUAGCAAGUAUUAGAGUACAAAAACAGAUCAAAUCUAGACACACAGAAGCAUCCACAUAGUUAGACACAAAUGGGGAAUGCAGAUAUAUAUUUAUCUAACGGGUCAUGAUGGUCAGCUUAGAAUUGGGAUGAAUACAAUGAGACGAGAACGAAGCUAGCUUUUGAUUUUAGCAAACACAAGCUUUCAUUUGAUAGACCGUUAGAAGCAUCUUGGAUAAAAAUCUUCAGAUUACCCUUAAAAACAUUUACACUAAACUUGUUCAAAGCACCUAAGUAGAGAAAUGAUGAAGCAAAAAUCCCAGGUUUAUUCGAAAUCAGUGGUUAUACAGCAUCAUAAGCUAAACUUUAAGGGUUAAAGGAUCCAAAGAAGCAGUUUUUGAGAAACUAAAUAUAAAAAGAGUAAGAGCAACAAAAGAGGUUUGGUACCUUGUGGAAAUUAAACACCAAAUCUAGCUCACAGACAUUGCUGAAGAAAUGGUCCAAAAUCUCCACAAACAAAUGGAUACACUCCAGGUAAGCCAACUCAUUUUCGGUUAUAUCCACGCACACGGAGAAAAACAAUCUAGUAUAUUACCUUGUGUGUUCUAAACUGAAAAUAGUUGCAGAACAGUUUUCUCAUUCUAGCUCACAGAACAAUAUUGGUUUCUUAAUCACCAUUUCAUGUCUCAUAAGACACAUAUCUACUUCUCUAUACAGAUAUUGAAUGAGUUGGAUUACUUCUACCUCAGCUUAUAACAACAUCUCAAACAACAACUAAUACCUCAACCAGAGAAACUUCGCAGAUUCGAAUUCGACAGAGCAAUGCUCCUAUACUGUGCUAGUAUCAACAGCCCUAAAUAUCAUAUACAAAACCUGGAUUAAGAAUCAUAUGCAUUCCUACAAUCUUGGUUCUUACUCACCUAAUUUUCAUGUCUCAUUAAGGUUUUUUCAAGUUCUCUAUAAAGAUCUUAAUACUAGAAAACUCAGCUCCAAUGCCUCAACUGAAGAAAUUUUUCAUAAUAUCUACAAAAGCAAUGGUUUUUUCAAUCAAAUCUACCAUAUAGUCUCUGGAGAACCCUAAUCUCAAUUGCGACUUUUAUGUUUAAGAUUGAAAACUUUUAAACCAAAAUCGGCUUUGUUGGUUAAAACCGAUCUUUCUAGAAUUUUAAGUUUUCGAUUUUGAACCAAACGUAAAAAAGUCCGUCGAAAAUACAACUCCUUACUUGAAAUCAUACCGUUUGUGUUCAGCCUCCAUAACUCCAUAGAGAGAAAAACGAUUAGCUUAGCUUCUAUCAUGAUUUAAAAAUUAUAUUUGAAUACUAAUCUUUGUGUUCAUGUUAAUUCAUCAUCGUAUAAUUUUUCUUUCAUGUUCGUGUAGUGUUUAUUUAGGAAGCAAGAUAAACAAUUCCUACAGCUUUGUCUAACCUUACUUCACCUUUUGAAUCAGUUAUAUUCUCUAAGUUUAUUUGUUUUAUUUUCAUUGGAAUAAUUUUCUAAUUAUUACGUUUGCUAAUUAUUGAACAUGAUCUUAUAAAAGUCGUUACGUCGGGCUUGGAAAACAUGGAAAUAUCUUGUAAACUUAAAAUAUCAUGUGUCGCCAAUAAAUAAUUAUAUAAGUAUGUAGAUUGGAAAACAUCAACAAAUCUCAUUGAAUAACACAAAUCAGUAUGAAAGAGUUCGAUGUUAGGUCCGGUUUGUUUUCAACAUAUUUAAACUUUUCAAAUUUUGUAUGUUAUAACUUUUCAAAAUCAAAAAUUUACUUAAAAGUUAUAACUUUACUUAAAUUAUAAAAAACCUUAAACCUAAGCGUUAAAUUUUUUACAAUACGUGAUAGCAUGUUGAACUUACACACCACUGACGGACCACAAAGGGACUGGAUGCUCGGCCCGAUUUGUUUUCAACGUAUUAAAAUUUAACACUUAGAUUCAACCAAAAAAAGAUCAUAUUUAAUUAUUAAAAAUUAAAACUAUUUUUACUUGAAAUUUGAAUUUAAAAACCUUGAUAUUUAGUUGUAAAACAGGAAUAUAGAAAUGUAAUUCAUAAAAUAUUUUUUUCUUUAUGUAUCUUUUUAUAUCGAAAUCAAUUUUUCUUAAUUUAUUUAAUUUUUUAAAAGUUAGAAAAGUUGAGAUAUUACCUGUGAUAUUUAAGAAUCCUGAAGGCUACAGCGACUCAAACGGUGGUCGUUUCUGAAUUUUGCUAAACGUAAUACAAAAACAAACCCAUCAGCGCAUUUCAUAAUUGUCAAAAAAUCAAAUUACUUUGAUAAAACUAAAGACAACUAUCACGAACCUGCUUAUAAAUAUUCUCCUAGUCUCUAAUGACUGAAGAAAACAGAGGAUCGAUGGAGAUCAUCAUAAAGACAUUCAUCGAGCCUUGAGUCACCAUCGAACCUUCUCCACCCUGAAACAAAAGCAUAAGACUCAGUUCAAAACAAAGAGAUGAAUGAUAAAUAUGAUACGUGAAUCACAAGGCUAUAACAUGUUUGAUGAUGAACUAAAAAGUACACAAAAUGGCUUGCAUUUGCAUCAAUCCAAAAUCGUAUAUGCAUUUACACACACCUAUGAGAUUCAGUUCUUUAAGUUGCAGAGAGGUAGUAAUUAUUCUAUAUGUGGUCGAGAAGCAACAUGAGCUCAGUAGUAAUAAAAUAAAACAAUGUCAAUGGAAACUCGCAAAUCAAAUCAGUAUACCUCAGGUUAUGAAUGUAGUAAUGCUGAUACUACAUGAUCCUUCUUCUUUCUUGAUAAUUGUGAGGAAGUCCUCUUGAUCCAAAUCUUUAUGAACUAUAGAAAAACCUGCAAAGAAGAGAACAACAACAGAGAAGAACAUCAAAGACCUGCAAAGACAAUAUAUAUAUACAAAUAUAACUAAAAUCAAAAACAAGAGAACAACAACAACAGAGAAGUAGAAACUAAUAGGUCUGAAACAAACAAACCUCCUCCUAUCAAAAGGUCUGCAACUUCCUUGUCUACAGAUCAAUGGAUUUGUCAGAAAACCAUAGCUAACACUGUAACGCUCACAUACAAAUACAUAUAACUCUAACAGUUAAGCAACAGAGGAAUUCUAACACAGAAAUACACAAAAAAUCAUAUAAGAAGGAGACAGAGAGAAGCACGAAUACUCAUUACAAAACCAAAGAGAGGAAUACUAACCAAAUACGUGAAUCAUCAUAAGGCAAACAUUGGCUUCCAGAUUCAAUGAAGACACAAAUCGAAUCAAAACAACUGUAAUUCCAAAAGGCAAAAGAAUGAUGAUUGCUACAUAAUAAACUCCUAAGACACAAGACCAUAUGCACAGAGAGGAACAAGAAGAGAUAGAGCUGUACCGUGAAGGGAAAAGAGGAAGCAAGAGCACCACCAUGAGGACGAAGCAGAGGUAGAUAGAUCCCAAAGACGAACCAGAAGAAGAGGAACCAAAAGCAGAGGUUAGAUCGCCACCACGUCUCAAGCCUCAGCAUUCUAUGAUCGCCCUGUUUGCAUAUCUUGAUCAUCAAACCGAAUCUCACAACAACAAAUCAACCAGAGAAAAGCUAUAAAGGUAGAAGCUUUACACCAACGAUGAAUCAGAGAUUCGAUGGCGAAGAGGGUUAUGCUUUGUUGUUCGACAAGAGAGAACGAACUAAGGAUAUUGAUUUGUUGAAGAGAAAGAAGAAGAAGUGAGAGAAACAGAGAAUUUUGAUUUCUCGAUCAAAAGGAAGAACGGAGAAGAAGAAAGUUUGAGAAGCUUUGAGUUGUUUAACAAAAAAGAAGAAGCUUUGAAUUGACAGAAAGAGUUUUUUUAAUUAAAAGAAAAGGAAACUGAUGAGAUCACAAUCACAACGGUUAUAUUAAUACCGAGAUUUUGUUUCUGUUAAAGUUUCUUCAUCACAACGGUAACAUUUUGAACUUGUUAAUUUUAAAAGAGAAUUUACUGAAAAAUAUAUAACUGUAAUUUAUAAACCUUCAGUUAUACUAUUAAUUCAUUGAAAAAUCCUAGAACUAUUUUAUUGACCUAUUCUGGAGGAGUUAUUUUACUAAUUAUUUCAUAAAAAAUGUUAAUUAUCAGACCAAGUUUUAUAUAAUAAGUUUCUCCUUAACACUACGCAUGACCACGGUUACGGUUUAUUAACCAUCGAUUACGGUUAUAAAUUUUCCUUAACCAUAACUUUAACCUUUAUGUAUACGGUUACGGUUACGGUUAUUUGAUGAUCAUGAUAUAGAUAAUAUUAUAAACUUUUUCCGGUAACGAAGCUAAACUAAAAUUCAUUAUUAGGGUUCUGCUCCUACAACGCCGUAAUUUUGAUUGCUUUAGUUUUUUGAAUUCAGGUUCGAUAUGGAGAUUGAGAGAAACGUUUCAGUCCCUGGUAAGAAGAAUCUAGUUAAAGUCGAGUUCAAGCUUGGGACAGAGAGCUACAUCAUUGAUUCAUCAAACAAGGGUGAUACUGUGUUGGACCAAUUGGUUUCGAUGAAAGUUGAAAGUAUGAAGAUACUUAAAGAUUUUAUCAUAAAGCUUAAUGUUCCAGAUGAUGAUGAUGUUCCCGACCAAAUCUUGUCUGAUGAUGAAGAAGGUGAUGAUGAUGUUGCUUCUCCUGUAAUAUGUCCUGUGAAACCUAAGAAGACAAAGAUUUGACUUCUUUUUUUAUUUAUCGCUACAUGUCUUGUUAAAUCUUGAACCGUUGUCAAAUCUGACUGUUUGUGUAACAGUUUUGGGUUUUCGAAGGAGAAUUAAGAGGCUUUGGAUCUUGCUAGUUGGAAUUUAGAUAUUGUGUUACUGAGGUUUUACUGUAGAUUGGAAUUCAGAUACACCUUUUAAUUGAAAUCACAGAGAAAUAGUAGCAAAGUAUUAGAGUACAAACACAGAUCAAAUCUAGACACACAGAAGCAUCCACAUAGUUAGACACAAAUGGGGAAUGCUUUUAAGAAUGCUGCAUAUAUAUAUUUGAAUUACACACUUUUAUUGGGAUGAAUACAAUGAGACGAGAACGAAGAUAGCUUUUGAUUUUAGCAAACACAAGCUUUCAUUUGAUAGACCGUUAGAAGCUUCUUGGAUGAAAAUCUUCAGAUUACCAUUAAAAACAUUUACACUAAACUUGUUCAAAACUUCUAAGCAGAGAAAUGACGAAGCAACAUCCCAGGUUUAUUCGAAAUCAGUGGUUAUACAACAUCAUAAGCUAAACUUUAAGGGUUAAAUGAUCCAAAGAAGCAGUUAGAGAAACCAAAUAUAAAAAGAGUAAGAGCAACAAAGGAGGUUUGGUACCUUGUGGAAAUUAAACACCAAACGUAAAAAAGUCCGUCGAAAAUACAACUCCUUACUUGAAAUCCUAAAGUUUGUGUUCAUCCUCCAUAACUCCAUAGAGAGAAAAACGAUUAGCUUAGCUUCUAUCAUGAUUAAAAAAAUUAUAUUUGAAUACUAAUCUUUGUGUUUCAUGUUAUUCAUCAUCAUAUAAUUUUCCUUUCAUGUUCGUGUAGUGCUUAUUUAGAAAGCAAGAUAAACAAUUCCUACAACUUUGUCUAACCUUACAUCACCUUUUGAAUCAGUUAUAUUCUCUAAGUUUAUUUGUUUUAUUUUCAUUGGAAUAACUUUUUUUCUUCUAAUUAUUACGUUGGCUAAUUAUUGAACAUGAUUUUAUAAAAGGCGUUACGUUGGACAUGGAAAACAUGGAAAUAUCGUGUAAACUUAAAAUAUUAUGCGGCGCCAAUAAAUAAUUAUAUAAGUAUGUAGCUUGGAAAAAAUCAACAACUCCCAUUGAAUAUCACAAAUCAGUAUGGACCACAAAGAGAGUUUGAUGCAAGGUCCUGUUUGUUUUCAACCAAUUUAAAUUUAACACUUAUAUUUUUUUUAAAGAAAAACAUUUUGUAUGUUAUUGUUAAAAAUCAAAACUGUACUUAAAAAUUAUAACUUUACUUAAACUAUAAAAAGACCUUAAAACCUAAGCGUUAAUUUUUUUACAAUACGUGAUAACAUGUUGAACUUAUACACCACUGACGGACCACAAAAGGACUGGAUGCUCGGCCCAAUUUGUUUUCAACGUAUUAAAAUUUAACACUUAGAUUUAACCCAAAAAUAAAAGAUUAUUAAUAAUUAAAACUAUUUUGCUUGAAAUUGAUUUAAAAAAACCUUGAUAUUUAGUUGUAAAUCAGGAAAAUAGAAAUGAAAAAAAAAACAUAAAAUAUUUUCUUCUUUAUGUAUAUUUUUAAAUCAAAAUCAAUUGCUCUUAAUUUAAUUUUUUAUGUAUAUUUUUAAAUCAAAAUCAAUUGCUCUUAAUUUAAUUUUUUUUUUAAGUUAGAAAAGUUGAAAUAUACCUGUUAUAUUUAAGUAUCCUGAGGGAUGAGGCGACUCAGUCCGUGGUCGUUUCUAAAGUUUGCUACACGUAAGUAGAAAACAAACCCAUCAGCUCAUUUCAUAAUCGUCAAAAAUUGAAUUACUUUGAUAAAACUAAAGACAACUAUUACGAUUUUACGAACCUGCUAAUAGCCUAAUACCUCUCUGUUCCUCUCUUCAAUAUAUAUAAAUCCUCCUAUAAAUUUUCUCCGAAGGUGUCUCAGUGGCUUGAUAGCCUUAGAUUCAAUAUCUUGUGACAUCGAUCUUGACUGAAGAAAACAGAGGAUCGAUGGAGAUCAUCAUAAAGACAUUCAUCGAACCUUGAGUCUCCACCCUGAAACAACAACAUAACCAAGUACACAACAUUCAUUAUCUAACACUGAAUACACAAAACCAUAUAAGACGACAUACAGAGUAAGACAGAGAACCACAAAUACUUUGUUCAAAACAAAGAGAUGAAUAAUAUAUAUAAUACGUGACUCACAAGGCUAUAACAUGUUUGAUGAUGAACUAAAAAGUACACAAGAUGGCUUGCAUUUGCAUCAAUCCAAAAUCGUAUAUGCAUUUACACACACCUAUGAGAUUCAGUUCUUUAAGUUGCAGACAGGUAAUAAUAAGUCUAUAUGUGGUCGAGAAGCAACAUGGGC